CGCGGCGGCCUUCUCCCUCUCCCCUGCGGCCGGCACACCCUCCGCGGCGGCCCUCUCCCCUGCGUCCGGCGCGCCGCCGGGACUCGCAGCGCCCGUCGCGGCCUUUCCCUCUGCGGCCAGCGCGCCCUCGGCCCUCACUGCGCCCCCUGCGGCCCAUUUCCCCGCUGUCCCCGGCUCUGCACAUCCCUUCGCUGCUGCCGGAACGCCGCCGAGCCACGCCUUUGUGCUCACCGCCACGCUUCCCCCCACUGUCGAGCCACCUCCGCCCAUGCCGACCCAAACUGCCACCCUCGCGGCAGCCCCUGGCCACGACGGGUCCCCGUCGGCUCCUGCACUCUCCCUACCGGAUGCCGCCCUCCUUCGCUCCCAGCUGCUGGCGCCCGGUUUUCCUCAUGUCACCACAACUGGCGGGGGCCCCGUUCGUGGCUGCCCCCUGCCGACCACUGUCUACAGUCAGUCGUCCGCCAUUAUCUCCUCCCUGCGCACUCCUUCGGAAGACGCUGCUGCCAUUCUCGCCGCCACCCGGGCGGCCG
RNAcentral lists this unclassified non-coding RNA (533 nucleotides) under Zea mays. RNAcentral describes it as "misc RNA Zm00001eb338900". The record is from RNAcentral. Lineage: Eukaryota; Viridiplantae; Streptophyta; Magnoliopsida; Poales; Poaceae.